UUUUUUUUGUUUGUUUGUUUGUUUUUUGUCUUUUGGGAUACUAUUUUCUCUUUCAGAAUUCUUGGAGAAUCCAGGUGGCAGUAAUUAUUUGUGUUUUUCCCUCAAUACCAACAUCUGAUUGGCUGACCAGCAAUGUGUCUCGAGAAAUUGAAGCCGGGUUGGUUUGAAGACAAUCUUAACUUCUCAAAGGGUUUCCUUUUCAAAGGAAGAGUAUCCCAGGAGACUCCUCUCGGACCCCGGGGCAUCCACCUGAUCCCUUGAAAGGCUAUACUCCAACUUCAGGCUGUCCUAUGUCUCCCAUUCCCAAAUACUCGGAGUUUCAUUCCAGGCCAGGAGCUGAAAUUUACUAGACAUUCUAGCAUACAUAGCCACAGCGGAUAUCUUGAUUUAUCCCCAGACAGUACUGAAACCCAGAACCAGGGAAAAAACUGAAGGGUGGCUGAGGACACAUUACCUUAUAAAGUUUCCAAAGGGAAACCUUGACCCAAAAAUAUUCUGAUAAGGUUUCUGUGCCUACAGGCAAUAAAAGGAAAGGAGGCAUAGAACAGUGUUUACAAUACAGUGUCAGGGGAUUAUUCUUUGCUUUCUUCUCUUGGGAAAUAUUUACAAACAGAAAACAAAUCUUCUUAAAAAUGCCAUCCAAUGCUUUGUCAAAAAAUGAUGAAAAUAUGGUACUAAAAUGUACACUAAAGUGUACAUUAAAGGACAAAUAGUUGAUAAUAUGAAUUAGGGAGGGGAAAUUGGCAUUUGGGAAUGUCAGAAGGAACUGGAAAUUUAGUAUUUUACUGCAAGCCAGAGUUAGGUUGGAGGAAUGGGAAAUGGGCAGGAGUCUUGAGACCCUGCUUGAGAAAGAAGUGAAAAAUGCAGGGAAAAUCAGUCCCCUGUGGAGUGUGAAAAUAAUUAAAUGGCAGGCAAUUAGACUGAGGUGGCUCCAGUCCUAGGGUUGCUUCUUUCAAAAAAAUCUAACUCGAAUGCUUUUUUUCUAAAGUAUUACAUUGGGGGAAAAUAAAAUUCAGGCUUAACCAACUGUAAACUGCCAAUUAACCUCUCAUUACAUGACCAGGAAAUUUCCACCUUGAUCGUACAAAUUAAGAAACUACAUAACUCUACCUAACCAAUUAUUAAAUUUGCUUUCCUUUAUCAUGAACCUUAUAAAAGUGUUUUCUUCAAGCCCCUUCCAUAAACCACAAACUACAAAACAUAGCUUGGUGCUCUGCAAUUCUUGAAUUACUCUUUAAUUAAAUUCUUUAAUAUUUUUGCGGUGACUUCCACAAAUUUUAAUAGAAAAAAAGGGGGACUGGGAACCCUGCGGACCAAAGCUCUUCCCAUUCAUGAACUCCAUACCCCGAGUCAGUGUUCUCCCCUGACCACCGUCCCGUGGUCCCUGCACAAUAAUCAGGGAGGGAUGCGACAGUGGGGGCAGAGCUGCCCAGAGAGGACUCCAGGCCAGGGCACAGUCACUCCGCAGGGAGGAGACAGGACUCCCGGGGUCCCUGCUGCCAGCCCGGCCGCCAUCCUAUGGCUGAAGGGGACUGACGGCCGAGCUGCGCCAAGAAGAACUCUGGGCCGAGGAUUUUGGAGCCAACUGCGGGUAGGCCAGAGUCCCGCCACAGCCACUUCCCACCAGUUCCAACCAGCCCCGCCCCUCUCUCGGGAUGUCGGACCCGGCACUCUCACCAUUUUUAGGCUUCCAGGGGGUCCUGGGGUCUUAGCUGUGCAUCUCUCAAUACCUGCAGGUAACGGGGCCACAGAGACUGGGCCUCUGGGAGCAGAAGACACACAGCAGUGAAGACUAGACCAGGAGCUUCGGCUGCAGCGAGAGACAAAGGCCCCGCC
This 1836-nucleotide long non-coding RNA is filed under the name Macaca fascicularis (crab-eating macaque). RNAcentral describes it as "lncRNA (ENSMFAG00000048028.1)". The record is from RNAcentral. Lineage: Eukaryota; Metazoa; Chordata; Mammalia; Primates; Cercopithecidae.